GGGCGUGGCCAGUCUGCUCGGACCAAUCAGAGCUCAGGGUGAACUUUGUAAACAAGUCUUCCACGCUGUUUUCUGGAUCGUUGCUUUUCUUUUACUACGGAGAGACGCCGCGGUGCUGCAGCCCGGGAGGAGACGAGCUACAAACAGACGUCAAUACAGAUGUUGAAAUCAAACCUCACUCACAAAAUAUUUCUGAAGACCAGAGGAAUAAUGCAGAGCAGGGAGAAGCAGCACCAGAAAGCCUGCUGUGACCCACAUCACACCUCAUGCUGGGGUCACGGUCUUUCCUGGCACACCUGAGUGACAUCACAAGCAGAGCUGAUGAGACCAGCAGCAGGUGGAGAAGUCCAAGUUUUCAGCGUGUGCCAGCCAGUCAGCUGAGAGGGAGGAAAACAAGAUCUGAGGCCGGCAACGCGUCAGAACUGGGACAAAGACGAGAGAGAAAACAAGGGAGAGCCCCGCUGAAUGACAGAGAUAGGAACCAAUGCAGAAAAGUGGCGCCGAGUGCGGAAGAUGUUGCUUUGAAGCUCGUUCCAGGUGUUUGUGGAUUGCAAAUAUGGCAAAGUAAGAUAGCAGGCAGAGGCAGGAUGAGGCCAGACGUAGGUAAUGACAGGUGUAUUACAGCCAGGUAACUCUGAUUCAGCCUCCCUUUGAUAUCCUGAUCAUCCAGCUGAGUCAUGUAUGAAUGAAAAAAAUCACUUUAUUAUUCAGAUUGUUGUGUCUGAUUCUCUUUCUUCAUCAAAUUAAACUGGAUGUUCUCCUAAAGCUGGAAACUCA
Amphiprion ocellaris (clown anemonefish) is the source of this 777-nucleotide long non-coding RNA. RefSeq lists it as uncharacterized. The transcript is spliced from 3 exons. NCBI's taxonomy places the organism in Eukaryota, Metazoa, Chordata, Actinopteri, Pomacentridae. The record is from RefSeq and is a predicted model, not a curated record.